GAUAUCGAUUACUGCAUUGUUGGGUUUGGAGCUUGCAAGAAARGCAUUUCAUUGUACUUGUGCACGUGACAUUUAAACCUGAAACUUUAGUUGAGCGUUCCUCAGCUACAUUUCUAGUUGAACAAGCAAGGCAUAUUGUUUUGUUUUCACACGGUUGACUGGCCUGCCCUGCUGAUCCUGAGAAAUGUGUGGGGGUCCCGUGUGGUUGUUGAUAGAUCAUUGAGCUUGCAACGCCAGGAACUUGGACAGGAUGAGGGAAGGAGCUUUUGAGAUCUCAGGUCUCUGCGGCGUGUCAUUGCAGAAGGAUGGACGAGGGUGCCUGCCCCCAUCCAGGAUCCUCAUGAUGGACUUAAGAGUGGCCAGCCAUCUGGCUUAAAAAGCCUGAGUCUGUCAUGGGCAGAGGGGUGUGAGGUAUUCAGGUUUAGGAUGUAUUUCCUGCUAUUUUCCCUGGGCCAGCCACUGGUCAUGGUCCGCCAGGACCCUUCCCACCUCCUGCUGUGGGCCUGAAGAUACCGKGCAGCGGAGGACAUAUGGUGAGAGACCAGAUCCGUCAAACAACGAUGAGAAACAGCAUAGACUAGAACUUUUACAUCAAUCAUUCAUGUCUGUUCUCUAAAAAGAUUUCAGGCGUACCUCAUGGCAGAGAUCCCACAUUCCAAACCAAAGAUUGCAUUUCUGGUCCAAGUGUAGCAAAGGGAUCAGGGCAUCUGCGACCUUGCUCUCUCUUCGCCACACCAAAACAACUUGCACUCGCAGAGUUACCACCACUCUGUAGCUGUUGCUGCUGGCUUUUGCCCUAAUCUACCAUCUGUUAGUCUUCAGCAGGAAUGUUCCAUUGAGGGUUCUUCGGCAUACCAAAAACAUUUUAGCAAUGAAAGUUGAAUUUUUUGUUAGUCAUUUCACUAUACUGUAAGGAGUCAUUAUAAUGAUAUUUUUUAAUUUAACCCUAACUGACUUGCCUAGUUAAAUAAAUUCUUAUUUACAAUGACA
Molecule: long non-coding RNA, 990 nt
Organism: Salvelinus sp. IW2-2015
Lineage: Eukaryota; Metazoa; Chordata; Actinopteri; Salmoniformes; Salmonidae
Source: RefSeq, a predicted model, not a curated record